Daphnia carinata is the source of this 1572-nucleotide long non-coding RNA. RefSeq lists it as uncharacterized. The record is from RefSeq and is a predicted model, not a curated record. Lineage: Eukaryota; Metazoa; Arthropoda; Branchiopoda; Diplostraca; Daphniidae. The transcript is spliced from 6 exons.
CGGUGUGACCCAGCAACCGUGCCCUGCCACUGCCCCGGUUUAUAAAAUGUCUCUGUCAUCCCGUGAUUGGCCCAUUCCAGGCAUGGAGGAGGUGGUGACCCCGGAUCACAGCCAAUCAGGUGUUUAGUGCCGGGUUGCCGGCUACUGCUUUCGUUUCGCAUUACGACGUAUUUGGAAAAGUAUGUGAACAUAGCAUGAGGCAUUUUCUGGCGCUUAAGUUACAAGAAAGAAAAGCCUUUCUUCAUUUGGGCGCAAAACUCUUAGGCAAGAGGUAAGAAGGUAACAUAGCCUUCCUAAUCAAAGUGUUUUUUGCCAUGCCUGAAACAAUGAAGGAAAAAAGGUGUCAAAUCAGGCUUCAUCUCCGCUCAGUGACAGGGAGGAUGAAGAAUACAUUGUUGGUAAAUUCUCGGUCUGAGAAGGUGAAGUUGGGUAUAAGCUGAUAGGGAUUGGUGUUUCAAACAACGGAAAUACUUGGGAGCCCAAGAAUAUCUUUAUUGUAAUAAUUUCAUCGCAGCAUUCGAAAGCAGAUGUCUACCGUUGAAUGAGAAUCCCGAAAACAAGCUAAGCCAAGAGAAGAAAAUUGUGAAGAAAGAAGAACUAAAGCACAGUCUUACAACAGGAUUUCAUCGAAUGUAGAGGUGGACACAAUUUUUGGAGUGAGCGAUGACGUUGAAGAAACUAUAUAGGCUGACCAGAAUUACAAACACAUUGUCGCAGCAGUCAUUCAGUGCUCAGAUUAAUUUGGCUUAGCAUAACAUUACUUCGGAAGCACGGGUCUGUUUUAAAUUCAUAAGUCAGUUUGAAAGGGAAGGUUAAGAUAACUUUGUUUUUGAAGUAAUUCCUUUCACGCUGAGUCAUUGUGUUCUUUUUUUUUCUAAACUUUAGAGAAUAUCACAAGUUGGGCGCCAAACAGUGACAUCUAGCGGAUGAAAAGUGAGGUAAGUUUUACGCCAAGCAAUGACAUCUAACGGGGGAAAAGUGAUAAAUUGUACGCCAAACACUGGCAUCUAACGGGGAAGAUGAGGUAAAUAGCACGCCAUCUAGUAGGAGAAACGUGAGGUAAAUGGCACGCCAUCUAGUGGCGGAAGUGAGGUAAAUGGUACGCCAUCUAGUGUUCAAUAAUACAGCUUGUAAUGAAUUAUGUCAAGUGAAAUUGUGACAGAAAAAUAAGGAUGUUAAAUCACGGUACAAACCUUUUUGUUUCACGGUUUGCAAGAAAAUGGCUCGGAAAUGGAAAUGAUGUCACUUCAAUCUUCAACAACCAUUUUUUUGGCAGCAGUAGAUAACUGCAAAUGGUAGUCCCUAAAUCAGAAGAAUUUUGUCCGACAUCUUUACUACGUGAACUUUAAAAGGCCUUGUUAUACCAAAGGGCGCCUAAUGGAGAAAUUGGGCUUCAUUAACGAUUCCAACUAAUUGAUUCUAACAGCUUCAUCUCCACUCAGUGACAUGGAUGAUGAAGAAUACAUUGUUGGGAAGUACUCGGUCUGAGCUUAGUAUGAACAUUUAUCUUAAUAUAGUAUGUUAAUAUAAAUUGACCAUCUUGUGAUUAUAAUGAAUCUGAAAUAUAUUAGG